UCCUACGGGAGGCAGCAGUGGGGAAUAUUGCGCAAUGGGCGAAAGCCUGACGCAGCGACGCCGCGUGGGUGAUGAAGGCCUUCGGGUCGUAAAGCCCUGUCGGGAGGGACGAAUUCUCGACGACCUAAUACGUCGUUGACUUGACGGUACCUCCGAAGGAAGCACCGGCUAACUCCGUGCCAGCAGCCGCGGUA
Molecule: ribosomal RNA, 194 nt
Filed under: uncultured Myxococcales bacterium
Lineage: Bacteria; Pseudomonadati; Myxococcota; Myxococcia; Myxococcales
Description: partial 16S ribosomal RNA
Rfam family: Bacterial small subunit ribosomal RNA
Source: RNAcentral